This 403-nucleotide ribosomal RNA is filed under the name uncultured bacterium. RNAcentral's name for it is "bacterial SSU rRNA". It matches the Rfam family "Bacterial small subunit ribosomal RNA", at positions 357 to 774 of the family's 1533-position model. The record is from RNAcentral.
GGGAAUAUUGGGCAAUGGGCGCAAGCCUUACCCAGCAAUACCGCGUGAGUGAAGAAGGUCUUCGGAUUGUAAAGCUCUUUGAUCAGGGACGAACAGAUGACGGUACCUGAAGAACAAGCCCCGGCUAACUACGUGCCAGCAGCCGCGGUAAAACGUAGGGGGCGAGCGUUGUCCGGAAUGACUGGGCGUAAAGGGUGCGUAGGCGGCAUAAUAAGUUAGAAGUGAAAUACCCAGAGCUUAACUCGGGUGCUGCUUCUAAGACUGUUGAGCUUGAGUGCGGGAGAGGUUAAUGGAAUUCCUAGUGUAGCGGUGGAAUGCGUAGAUAUUAGGAGGAACACCAGAGGCGAAGGCGAUUAACUGGACCGUAACUGACGCUGAGGCACGAAAGUGUGGGUAGCAAACA